RNAcentral lists this ribosomal RNA (458 nucleotides) under uncultured bacterium. RNAcentral describes it as "bacterial SSU rRNA". It matches the Rfam family "Bacterial small subunit ribosomal RNA", at positions 28 to 477 of the family's 1533-position model. The record is from RNAcentral.
GACGAACGCUGGCGGCGCGCCUAACACAUGCAAGUCGAACGGAGCUGUUUUUCUUCUGAAGUUUUCGGUAUGGAAGAGAGUUCAGCUUAGUGGCGAACGGGUGAGUAACACGUGAGCAACCUGCCUUUCAGUGGGGGACGAACAUUUGGUAAACGAAUGCUAAUACCGCAUAAGACCACAGUGUCGCAUGGCACAGGGGUCGAAAGGAUUUAUCCGCUGAAAGAUGGGCUCGCGUCCGAUUAGCUAGAUGGUGAGGUAACGGCCCACCAUGGCGACGAUCGGUAGCCGGACUGAGAGGUUGAACGGCCACAUUGGGACUGAGACACGGCCCAGACUCCUACGGGAGGCAGCGGUGGGGAAUAUUGCACAAAUGGGGAAAACCCUGAUGCAGCGACGCCGCGUGGAGGAAGAAGGUCUUCGGAUUGUAAACUCCUGUCCCAGGGACGAUAAUGACGGUA